AUAACUGUUCCAAAUUAAUUUUAAGUGUGAAAGACUGCUCACUAUUUCAAUUAUGGUCACAUUAACAACAGUGUUCACUCACAUUGUUUAGUCCACUUAGGUCUCUGAAUAGCUGAGGAUAGUAGGAGAUUGUGUCAAAGUCUUUAACCCAAAACUCAAAACACUUCUUUCUGACUCUUCUGAUAACAGAAAACUUGCAACUCGGUAAAAACAAACUGAAUGAACAUUCUUCCACCCCCAGAUAAUUUAGAAGAUAUAUUUGGUUUGCUUGAUAUUAGGCAAGAAGAUGAGUCCUGUGAGAGAAUCUGACUCCUGUGAGAGAUCUCAAGAUUGGAAGAUGACUUCUCAUGUUGAUUUCUGACAGGAUAAAAGCCAGCACUCUCAGACCUCAGCGGACUCCUACAUUUGCGUGAUCUGGUGAGGGAUUUAGUAGCACAGAGUACUUCGGUUACCUUCACCGCUGACUGACCGUGUUCACGAGUUUGCAGGAUGGACGUCAGGCUGAGCUUUCUCUCCCUCUUAGCACCAGACAGAAGGUAUGUGCAUCCGAGGCAAAGACACCUGUAUGUAUGGCGUGCAUCAGAAGACAUAUGGAAGCAGUCUUUAGUUUCAUGUGACAAUUAAUUGUACGUUCCCAGCUGGAAUAUAGUUUGAGAGCUCAGUUCAUCAGUAGGAGAAAAAAGAAAAAAGAAUGUCUGCAUAAGUGUUCUAACAGCUGUGAGCAGAGGGUCCUGGAAAUGGAACGUGGAGAUUUAGUAGCAAAAAGUCAAGAUUGCUUUAGUUUCUCCUUGAUGCAGGAUCACGUGAAGGGCAAAAGUAACUAACCUGCCAUGUCUCAACCAAGAGCGAUGGCUGGAAGCUUGCUGAGCAGCCAGAGAAUCCAUGAGUCAACACAUAUGCUGUGGAUGUGUGUGUAUGUAUGCUAACAUAUAGUGCCGUGUGACAAAUACAUGAUAUAAAUCACAGCGUCUCACUACUCUCUUCCUUGCUGUUCCACCCCAGUUCCAGGAGGCAGCCCAGUCUCCAGCUGACUCGUCUCCAAGCUCCCCUGUUUGCAUAUUCUGCUGAGUGGACCGUAUGCCCUUGUUUGAUUUCUUUUCUCUUUCCUGUGCAGAGGACACAGGGAAAUUGAAAGCCAGCCUGAUGCACACCAAGGUGAUUGGAGAGGGAGAGCCUCUGGUACAUUAGCCAUUAGGAAUCAGUACGAAGAAAAGCUUUUAGGAUGCCAAUCUCAAAUGGUUUGGGCCAGCGUUAACAGCCUCAAGCUUUGCCAAUUGGAUUUAUUAUCUGUUUUCACCUGUCAUCAGUUCUGAUUGGUGAGCAGUGCAAUACAAAUCCUGCAGUCCACUGGGUCUGUUUUUGUUGUUGAUUUCUUUGGUUCAGCUCAAUGAGAAAGCUGUGACACUGUGAAGCAGACCUCAAAUACCCAUCCCAUUUUCCAUUUACAGCCUGGCUGCAAGCAUCUGUCAGCCUGGGGAGCACCCAGAUGCUGCUUUGUAGGUGCUGCUCACCUUCUAUAAAGGGGAGGAAGAGAUGAGAGUAAAGCAGCUCCCCUUGCUCCCUGGCCGAUACCCAGAGCAGCGUGCACAGCCCAUCAGACCACACUGCAGCAGUUCCCCUCUGCAGCACAUCUGGAUCCUGUCCUGACUCUGCCUCCCCCAUCACAGAGCUCUGUGGUCCCUCUUCUGGAGAGGAGAAUUACCUCUGAUCUUACUUUCAGAAGCAGAGUGGGACCACGCAUGCCUGUGAUGCAGACCUCAAGCUCUGCCUUAGCAGAUGCAUUUUUAAGCCAGUAAUUUUCCAUACCACUUUAUGCUGCAGACAAGGCCUAUUGAACAGUGUAAAAUAGAGAGUGCCUAACAUGCACAAAAUCUGUAAUUAUACAUAUCUCAGCAGAGACCUUCACUUCACACUUCUGCAUUUUGCUAGGCUGAGGCACUCAGACAGUAGAGAAACAGCUGCUUCUGUUUCAGGUCAGUUAAGUGUUGCGUCAGGAUCAAAACAUUCCUCUAGGCUGCUGUAAAAUACAGCAUUUAAACUGAGAAAUGACUGGUUUCUCCACUCCUGUACUUUCUUAUUUCUUGCUACAAGAGGGGUAUUGCAGGAGAAAAUACCUUGAGUGCUAGUGGUCCUGCCAAAGCCAUAAAGGUCGCUGUCAUCACUGAGCCUUAGUGUAAUAGUUUGGGCUGGAUCUCAUUAGAAAGGGACGCUGCUGGAAAGGCGGUGGUAUGUUUACCCUUUGCAGUGGCUGCAGUCAGAGUCCAGGGCAGGAUUUGAUUUUCCAGUUAGAAAGCAAAGAAGAAAUUGAGUCUUAGGAAUGUAGCACACUGCGUGCCAUGAACUGCCAGCUGUGUGUUGCAAUGAAUGGGAACAUGUCCCUAGCAGGUAAUUCCUGGCUGCUCAGAAAAGCUCCAAAUACAGGGAUCUAUUAAUCCAGCUGUUGUUUCAUUAGAUGUAUUUGCUUUCAUUUCUUGCUGCUAAUUAUUUCAUGAAUUACAGUAGCAUAGGAGCUAGCCUAAAGGUGAUUUUAACAUGUGGUUUGCAAAGAAAAAGACAGCAUAACCAACAUAACCAUAUAGCUGGACUAUGACAAGUCAUUGGUUGGCCCCAUCUGAUCCUAAUUGCUAUUUCCUUGGGCUGCCAGAUAAAGGCAAUAGUCCGCUGAUGUACAGCUAUACUGGGAUUCUUUGUGAACCUGCACUGUCAAUAACCACCCACAUGCUCUGACAUCCAAGCUAAGUUACACAUUAACAUAGAUUAGCAUUGUUUCAGGCAUAAAUCAUCCAAAAAAACAUAACUUUCCAAUGGAAAAUAAGAUGACGGCCCACCUUCCCAUGCAGGAUCUUGCUGCCUACAGUAUCAAGCAUUUGACAAGAGCCAUAUACGAUCAGAGAUGUUGUGGCUGUCCAAUCCUUGGCCAGGCUGGAUGGGGCUGGGAGAAACCUCUCUAACUCUAGAGGGAGGGGUCCCUGGCUCUAGCAGGGAAGUUGGAUCUAGAUGAUCUUAAAGGUCCCUUCCAACCCAAACCACUCUAGAAUUCUGUGAUUCUGUGACAGAGAGAAUUCUGAGAUGCCUAUAUCCUUGCCUGUAUCCUUGCCAGUGUACAUUUUAAUGCCUUGCUUGAUGUCAAGGAUUCAGAAAAUAGAAGCAGAGAGAUAUAUGCAUUAUUUUGGAACAUCAAAAGUGUGCCACUUCCACCAAGAAACCCAAAUCUGUUGGGUUUCCUCUGGCAGUAUUUGAGCUUCAGGGGAAAGAAGAGAGAAAUCCCUCGGGGCUUUCCUCCAUAUGGUUGUUUAUUCUCGGUGCACAAUAUACCUUGAGAAUAUCUUCUCUGCUCUAAGCCCUUUCUUGCCUCAUGUACAUCAAACUAUCACACAGCCAUAUCUGGAAAUGUUGUGCUCUCACUUGGGCUAAGUAGGUUUUGCUGGAAGUGUCCUCUCUUCCAUCCAGGAAGAGUUCUUGGUUAUUACACAUUAGACUAAGGUCUCCAGGCUUCUCAUGGAUGAGAGGAGUGAUGGCUUCCAAACAUUUCACCGUCUGUUUCAUUGCAUAAGCAAUUACCAUACACUCUCAGAGAAAAUUUUGACCUACUGUUCAUCUUAUGUGUAGUUGAUCUGUGUAUGGAGAGGAUGUCUGAUGCAUCCCAGAAGUUUUAGACUCAGAGUUAUAUCAUAUUUGGGCUUGGGAAAUCCUUGACAAUGGCCUCUUCAGGAAAAGCACGGCUAUGCAUUUUGGUUUCAUAGUGCAGAGAUUCUGAUAUAUAAAGUGGAAGUAACUGAUAUCUCCAAAAUUGUAGUAAUAUUAAAAUCAAAAAACAUUAGUGUAGAUUAGCUGAGAGAACCAAAAAGUGCUGGGGAAAUGGGAAAGCUGCAUUUUGCCCCUCUCCACAUUUAUAAGGAAUCUGAGACACGGCAUUUUAGGGUUCCUUGAGGCGGGGUCAGUCUUUAAACAUAGAGACUGUAAAGAUCUUAAAGAUACUAUGGCUAAAAUGCUGUGAAAAAGAACAUGAAACAAAAACUGUGAGGAAGAGGGGAGAGAACAACAAAUAAAAUAGGAAGAGGAUACUAUAGAAAGUGGAGAGGAAGAGAAUAAAACCAGAGAGGAAAAGAACAACCUUCUGCCCUCUGAACACAUAUAUACACGCUCACUCACUCAUAGAGCUCCAUAGAGGCCAAUUUAACAUGAAGAAUUUGCUAUGCUUUCAGUGGUUAUGUUAUGUCCUCUAAAGUAAACGACCAAUUCAUCACUAAUGAGGAAACUAGGUAAGUACCUGAUUAGCUUCCAUCAUGCGUCAAAGUCCCAUUGACUUCAGCAAGUUGAAAUCAUUGUCCAGAAGUUAAUGUAAGUAUAUAUUUACUCACCCCUUGCUUUGGCUCAGAGGGCUUCAGGGCAGAGAUUAUGGCCAUUUCAGGAAUGUGAAACUGGUCAUCAAAUCCAGACCCUCCCAGUUGCAAGAACUAUGGAGCAGAUGUUAAAACCAGAGGGAUCUUCAGAACAUCUGUUCUGCAUCCCUUCCCUCCUCCCCAGCAAGCUGCCAAAUUCUUCUUAAGACUCUCUAACAUAGCCUGAACCUUCCUUUGCAUGCUGAGCAUCCAACAUAGCUUUGCGUUCACUUUUAUACAGAACUGUACAUCUUGAUUUGAUCCCUGCUCAGCUGGGACUUGAGAUGUUGUCAUACCAAUUCUACCAAAAGGAGACUGUGCCCAUUCUUUUCAUCUUAUUACCUGCACUAAAUCCCUGAGCUACAGUGGCCUUUAUAACUUCUACAUCUCUACAUCAAUGCUAAUGCACACUGAGGGACCAACUUUGGCUCUGGGCAGCCUGGUCUGGUGGUUGGUGACACUGCACAUAGCAGGGGGGUUGAAACUCGAUGAUCAUUAUGGCCCUUUUCAACCCAGGCCAUUCUAUGAUUCUACAACUCUAAGUUUCAUCAUACAUUUCAUAAGAAUUUUUAAAGGUUAUUUUUUACUUCUGGUUGUGAAAGGUCUUUUUUUUUUUUUUUAUGGGGCAUUCUUUAUAGUUACAUUUUAUGACAAAGUUCAUUAAAAUUGUUAAUAAUCAUUUGAAUUUUUAAGUUUCGCUAGCAUAUUGAACCCUUUCAGUCAAUGAGGAACUGUUAAAUCUGCCUGUAAAUACUCUAAGGGAAGAAAGGACAGAGGCUGGAUGCACAGCCAUUAUUUGCCCUGGGACAUGACCAUAGCAGGGUGAAGGAGCAGCACAGAGGAUGGAGAAUGGGCAUUGCUGUCAGUUCCAGCAGUCCACAUCUGUCACUCCUUCCUCCUCACACUCUUCCCCUGCUCCAGAAUGGGGUCCUUCCCAUGGGAAGCAAUCCUUCAAGAACUGCUACAGCACGGGUCCUCUGUGCAAGGUACCAUCCAUAAACAGGAGACUGCUCCAGCAUGGUCCCUUCUGCAUGGAUACAGCUCCAGCCUGCUCCUGUGUUGGCUGGCUUCAGCUUCCUUCAGGAUAUCCACCUGCUGUGGCAUGGGUUCCUCCAUGGUCUGCUUCCAUCACCAUGGUCCUCUUCAUGGGCUGUCAAGAAAUGCGUGCUCCGGUGCCUAGAGAACCUCUUCCCCCUCCUUCUUCCCUAACCUUGGUGUCUGCAGAGUUUUCUCUCACAUUUUCUCAUUCCUCUCUCUCACAACUGCUGCAGAAUGUAUUUUACCCUUUCUUAAGUGUGUUAUCGCUGAGGUGCCACCAGCAUCACCGAUUGGCUCAGCUGUGGGCAGCAGUCGGUCACCUUUAGAGCUGGUUGGAACUGGCUUUGAUUUAAGAUGGGGCAGGUCUUGGCCUAUUCACACAAGCCACACCUGCAGCCUCCUGCUACCAAAACAUUGCCACAUAAACCCAAUAAAACUGGCCAAGUCAGGGCUGAUUCCUAAGUCCUGUCCAAUACUCAUGUAAAUGGAGGGAUAUCAGUGAGGGGUGGAGGGAGCAGAGCUAUAAUGCAGUGAUGAAAGUCUUCAAGGCUCAAUCUACUUUCCAUCAAAACUGGUCUUCGUAACAUCCACCCCCACACAAAGUGCUAACUUAAAAGGGAAAUAUAAAACAAAUCCAGCACAGAGAAAAUAAAAGGAUUUAGAUAUUAAAAAGGGAACUGAGUACUCAGAUUGAUGGUUUUUUGGGUCAGUGUGGCAAGAUGUUUUCAUUAGAGUUGAAUUCACCCAGCUUUUUUUGCCACCCCACGUCAGGUGCAUGCUAUUGCUGUGAUCUCAGGGCUGGCAAAGCCAGCCUGCCCAGGUAAUGAAUCUCACAGCUGAAUAACCAAAUGGCAGCCCAUCUAGACCAAACCCCCACUAAUCCUGAAAACAUUUUUUUUCUGCUUAGGGAGAGGAAUGAAUCAGAAUAUUUCAUGUUUUGAUUACCCUCCUUGUCUCUCUGUUACAGAGAGUGAACCACGCUAUAAUUCAUAUUUUAAAUUCUGGUGUGAUUUUCCCAUGUUUCUGUCUGGAAAUCUAGCUGCAGACAUUAAAAUAUUUUGGUAGGAACCUGUAAAAAUUGCACUUAAGACGUACUGGUCCAAGCAAUGCCAAGGAAUGAUGCUACCUUGUGGCUGAGGAGGAAAAUCAGAUUUUCCCAUUUCCACAAGCUUAAAAAAGACUAUGGAGCUAUGCAUGGAAGAAACAAAUAUGUACAUCCCAGCUAAGCAAGACAAAGCUGCCCUUAAGCGAUGGCACAAAAGUUCAAUGAGAUAAUCACGUUAGCAUUACUGAGCUAGCCGUGCAUGUGAAGCACAAUACAGCUCCUAUUUCCUAUUUGUCUGCACUAUGAAUCUAAAAUAUUCAUAUUUUAUUGUCCUGCGUUGACAGCAGACUGUUAGAACAGAAGAAUGGCUGGCUUUCUGUCUGAAGUUACACGUCUUAUUUAAUGCAAGCUUGAAUGGCAAGCAGAAUUAAUCAGGUUAUCUACUCCACUUUGUACAAGGUUAUUUGCAGUAACAGACCUUAAGCAGAGCUAGGGUUGGAAGCCUGGUGUCCUUUUCCUUGGCUUAGAUAGAUAUAUUCCACCUGCCUAAAAAAUCUUGAGGGAACUGAGCACUCAGCUCCUGCACGGUUUCAGUAGGAUUUUAGUACUUAACCUGUAUUUAUUCCUCUCUGGAAUGCUUUGAGUCAAGCCACAGCGGGCACAGGGCCGUGGCCUGCUGUGGGCUGGCAGGGCCCUUCAGCCCCACGUACCCUAUGUCUGAGAGCGGCAUCCCAGCACUCCCUGAGCCUCAGCACUGGGGCCAUGCCCACUGCCCUGGGCAGGCUGUUCCAUGCCCACUGCCCUCUGGGGCACAGCCUUUCCCUAACCCACAGCUGACCCUCGCCGGACAUAGAAAGCCCACAGGAACAUCUAUGUUGUCUGUGUGGGUUUUGACUUGAGGAGCUGCAGCCGGAAGCCUGGAGAACUGAGCAUGGUGUAAGGCCCAGAGCAAUGCUGACUGUCACACCUGCCUCAAAAGGAAGCUGCACUGAAAACAAGCGACUUUCAAUAAAGGCUGUGCAUUCAUUUGGAAGUAAUGAAAACAAGCAGAAAGCAGCCGAGGAGCCCUUCUCGGGCUGCAUACCGCUGCUCCCUGCGGUCACACUGUCACCGCUCUCCCCUAGAACUGGGUCCCGACUGGACACAGCUGCCUGCCACAAGGCACUGUGACCCCAUGGAGAGAUGUGCGCUGAGGGACCCCACUGAAAUUCAUGAGUCAUAGAAGAAAAAAUACAUGGGGGAUUCUUUUCCAAUUAUUUUCCAACCCCUGAAGUUGGUGAUGGAGGCUGGUUUUCUCCCAGCGCCUUGCAGAGCUCUUAGACGCUUCAAGCGAGGAGGAAGCUCCCUGCUCUGGUGGUCUUCAAGGAGCAACAGCCAGUCUCCAUCCCCUUCAUCACAGCAGGAGCACUGUGGGCUUUUUUUGUCCACGUUUUCCAUGGGUGUUCCUGCCCCAUAGGCUCCCCUGUGAACUGACUGCCCACACUGCACAGUGGUGGCAACCCGCAGCAUUCAGUGCUCUUCCUUAACCUCUUCUUAGCAUUCAGGAAGCAACGCUGGGAGAGAGGAGGAGGAAAAAGGCUGAUUUUUGCACAGUCAUCAGAGUUACCUAAUGGUUUAUCGAUCAUGUUGCCAGGAAGGAAAUACCCCUAAAGAGCGGCAGUCUGCAUCUCUGAGGGUUUUAACCUCUUUUCAGUUAAACGUGAUGGCCAUUGUAUGAAGAUUGUGGCAGUCCUGGAAGGAUGGACAAUUCCAAUACUAUGUUCUAAAGAAAACAUAAAAGCAUUGAUUUUUUUUUAAGUGCAUUUCACAAGCUCAUUUCCCACCCUACGACCCAGCAAAUCAAAAGUCUUCCUCUCUCACCUGUAAUGAGUGAUGAGCUCAGCUCCCACAGCCUUCUUGAAAAGCCUUGUUGGAUCCCCCCAUGGCUUGGUUGACACCUUAUGUGUUUAAAUUAGUGCUUAAAGAGAUUACUUGGAGUUUAUUGCUCAUACCUUUGUCAUUCACUGGAUAUGCUCAUCCUGUUCUCUUUUUCGAAGCUGAAAUACAGCUUUGCCACUGCUGGGCAUUUGCAGCAGCAGGAUAAAAGCAGCAAGUUUUCCUAUUCUCAGUUUGCACUUUAUCGUCUUUCAUCGGUGCAAGCACACCAAAUCUGAAGUUUAGAAAUACAUUCACUAACAAUUUCUUCCUAUAGCAGAAACCCAAACUAUUAAGGCAAACUAGCAAUUAUUCUUCCACACUAACAUCAACAUAAAGCAGAUUAGAAGAAUUAAAUGCACAAGAGUGCAGUUCUUUUAUGAUUAUGUACUCUUAAUCUUCAGAAGAUGGUUAAUUACAUUUUAAGCAGCAUAAGAGCCCUAACAUAUUUGUAUAUUAAUAAAAAUUCUCACCAGGGGUUUAAAUCUAACAUGUAGUCACAGGUAUAACUAAUGGCAUUUUUCAGUAAUGCUGUGAAAAAAAUAUGCCUGUAAGUUAGUAGGUUCACACAGAAAACUGCUGGGAGUUUUUAAUUUACUCUCUAACUAUUCUCCUAAUCAUUCUCUUAUCAUGCUGGGAUGGCUAAAUGCAUACAGAUUAUAAUGAUGGUGUGCACCCUCCAUAGCAGUGUCAGCAGUGACAUUUGUCAGUGUUUGAAGUCAGGCUGCUGCAAUGAGAGCUCUGCAGCCAAGGGAAAAAGGGAAAUGAAGGGGGAUGAUGCUGCAGCCCUGCUGUUUCACCAGGACUUGUGUUUGCUAGUUUAGGGUUUAUUCCAGUUCAGAAAGUGAUUAGCCUCUAGCCAGCACAGGUCCAGACAUCUGUCUGUGAUUCAGAGCUUUUAGGAAUACUUGUUAACUGUGUCACACUCAGAGACGCUGAAGGUCCAAAGAGACUUCUUCCCUUGAAACCCUAAUAACUGAAGACAGAGACUAUCAUUUAUCCUGCUUCUGGCUCACAGGAAGCUGGAAUAGAAUCAGAGAAUCAUAGAAUGGCUUAGGUCAGAAGGGGUCUUAAAGCCCCCCCUCAGAUCAGGCUGCCCAGGGCGCCAUCCAGCCUGGCCUUGACACCUUCAGGGCUGGAGCACCCCUAAACACCAAGAGUUGAAGUGCAAUUCACAUUCUUUAUCCUGAUCUGCUCUUUGGAAAUUUCAAGUUCGGACAGUCCAGGAUUUGGGCUAGGCUUAAACGUAGUCUGAUGCAAGGCUGAAAUCCAUUUUGCUUCCCACUCUAGGCAGCUCCAGCAAAGCAGAUGAAAUGAGCUUUGAGUGGUCCCACUGCUGGGAAAGAGAGUACCAAAAUGGGAGGCAAAUGACCUCCUCCCAGCUUCACCCACUGGAUUCAUUUCAUCCACUGAUUCCAGAGCAGAGCAAGCUCAAGAGAAUGAGUAUAAUGGAGAAGGGGAAAAAGAGGAGCUGGUGAUGUCUCCUGUAAGCACAGAAGUCAAUGGGGACUGGCCUUACCUCGAGGAUCCAGCACUAAUGAGGAUGAGGAUGUUGCCCUUGGGCUCUCUGAGGACCUUUCCUCUUCUGGGCCUUUGGAUGAGCUGAAGCCAAAAGCCACUAUUGGAAAUAUGGGAAAUCACAAAGCAUCAUAGAAUCAUGAAUCAUCGAAUGGUGUAGAUUGGAAGGGACCUUAAAGACCACUGAGUUUCAACCUCCUACCAUGGGCAGGUUGCCCCCCACCAUCUCAGGCUGCCCAGGGCCCCAUCCAGCCUGGACCUGAGCACCUCCAGGGAUGGGACACCCACAGCUCUCUGGGUAGCAGUGCCAGGGCCCCACCACUCUCCAAAUAAGAAAACAUCCUUGGCCACAGAUUUGCCAUGACUUUGAGGAAGUCACUUCAUCUGACAUCAGCACCACAAGCAACGAAGCCCUCACUGGUAUUGCAUUAAUCUUCAAUCAAAACUUCACAUAAGGAUUACAGGAAUAAACUACUGCAGCAAGAGAAUAUUCUUCAUCUGGAUGACCCCUUUGUUCCACAAGUGUGCAUUAUCGGCAUUUUCACAUCUGUUCAUCACUUGGAGCAACUUUCUUUUGUCCCUUAGUUAGCUCAAGCAUCCACUUCCCCCUCCCAUGCUCCUCCACACCAUACAUUUUUUUUUAAAUCUAAAUACAUUUUCUAAAGUUUAUGACAUGCUGUGUAAUUAAAAUCAAGUUGGCAAAAAAAAAAAGAACUGUUUCAUCCACUACAGCUCUUUUCAUUCUAUAAUCCUCCAGCUGGAGUGCAGGUGGGGAAUUUGAAGUGCUCUCGUACUCAGUGGCAACAGCAAGGCCAAGGUCAUGGACAUGACUAAUGACACUGAAUGUUCGCUGUGACCUUUCUUGUGGCAGCCCAACUUUCAGAAGCUUUACACGAUGCUUUCUGACAAUGAGAUCUCAUAGGAUAUUUUCUAUGAGCAUCCCAAAAUCAGAAAUCACUUCUGCAAGUUGUGACUUCUGCACUCACACUGGGGAUUGCACAGGAAAGGUAUAAACUGCUCAGCACUUCC
This 10926-nucleotide long non-coding RNA is filed under the name Gallus gallus (chicken). RNAcentral's name for it is "lncRNA (ENSGALG00010020318.1)". Lineage: Eukaryota; Metazoa; Chordata; Aves; Galliformes; Phasianidae. The record is from RNAcentral.